UGGGGAAUAUUGCACAAUGGGCGCAAGCCUGAUGCAGCGACGCCGCGUGAGGGAUGGAGGCCUUCGGGUUGUAAACCUCUUUCGCCAGUGAAGCAGGCCAUCUUCUUUGUGGGGUGGUUGACGGUAGCUGGAUAAGAAGCGCCGGCUAACUACGUGCCAGCAGCCGCGGUAAUACGUAGGGCGCGAGCGUUGUCCGGUAUUAUUGGGCGUAAAGAGCUCGUAGGCGGCUGGUCGCGUCUGUCGUGAAAUCCCCUGGCUUAACUGGGGGCUUGCGGUGGGUACGGGCCGGCUUGAGUGCGGUAGGGGAGACUGGAAUUCCUGGUGUAGCGGUGGAAUGCGCAGAUAUCAGGAGGAACACCGGUGGCGAAGGCGGGUAUCUGGGCCGUUACUGACGCUGAGGAGCGAAAGCGUGGGGAGCGAACAGG
This 425-nucleotide ribosomal RNA is filed under the name bacterium. Its description in RNAcentral is "partial 16S ribosomal RNA". It matches the Rfam family "Bacterial small subunit ribosomal RNA", at positions 355 to 776 of the family's 1533-position model. The record is from RNAcentral.